AGAGUUUGAUCCUGGCUCAGGAUGAACGCUGGCGGCGUGCUUAACACAUGCAAGUCGAACGAACCUUCGGGUUAGUGGCGGACGGGUGAGUAACGCGUGAGAAUCUGCCCUCAGGAGGGGGAUAACGGCUGGAAACGGCCGCUAAUACCCCAUAUGCCGAGAGGUGAAAUGAAUUUCGCCUGAGGAUGAGCUCGCGUCUGAUUAGCUAGUUGGUGUGGUAAAGGCUCACCAAGGCAUCGAUCAGUAGCUGGUCUGAGAGGAUGAUCAGCCACACUGGGACUGAGACACGGCCCAGACUCCUACGGGAGGCAGCAGUGGGGAAUUUUCCGCAAUGGGCGCAAGCCUGACGGAGCAACGCCGCGUGAGGGAUGAAGGCCUCUGGGCUGUAAACCUCUUUUAUCAGGGAAGAAGAUCUGACGGUACUUGAUGAAUAAGCCACGGCUAAUUCCGUGCCAGCAGCCGCGGUAAUACGGGAGUGGCAAGCGUUAUCCGGAAUUAUUGGGCGUAAAGCGUCCGCAGGCGGUCUUGAAAGUCUGUUGUUAAAGCGUGGAGCUCAACUCCAUUUCAGCAAUGGAAACUAGAAGACUAGAGUGUGGUAGGGGCAGAGGGAAUUCCCGGUGUAGCGGUGAAAUGCGUAGAUAUCGGGAAGAACACCAGUGGCGAAGGCGCUCUGCUGGGCCAUAACUGACGCUCAUGGACGAAAGCCAGGGGAGCGAAAGGGAUUAGAUACCCCUGUAGUCCUGGCCGUAAACGAUGAACACUAGGUGUCGGGGGAAUCGACCCCCUCGGUGUCGUAGCCAACGCGUUAAGUGUUCCGCCUGGGGAGUACGCACGCAAGUGUGAAACUCAAAGGAAUUGACGGGGGCCCGCACAAGCGGUGGAGUAUGUGGUUUAAUUCGAUGCAACGCGAAGAACCUUACCAGGGUUUGACAUCCUGCGAAUCCCUUGGAAACUUGGGAGUGCCUUCGGGAGCGCAGUGACAGGUGGUGCAUGGCUGUCGUCAGCUCGUGUCGUGAGAUGUUGGGUUAAGUCCCGCAACGAGCGCAACCCACGUCUUUAGUUGCCAGCAUUAAGUUGGGCACUCUAGAGAGACUGCCGGUGAUAAACCGGAGGAAGGUGUGGAUGACGUCAAGUCAUCAUGCCCCUUACAUCCUGGGCUACACACGUACUACAACGCUACGGACAAAGGGCAGCAAACUCGCGAGAGCUAGCAAAUCCCAUAAACCGUGGCUCAGUUCAGAUCGUAGGCUGCAACUCGCCUACGUGAAGGAGGAAUCGCUAGUAAUCGCAGGUCAGCAUACUGCGGUGAAUACGUUCCCGGGCCUUGUACACACCGCCCGUCACACCAUGGAAGUUCGCCACGCCCGAAGUCGUUACUCCAACCCGCAAGGGAGGAGGAUGCCGAAGGUGGGGCUGAUGACUGGGGUGAAGUCGUAACAAGGUA
This 1444-nucleotide ribosomal RNA is filed under the name metagenome. RNAcentral's name for it is "bacterial SSU rRNA". It matches the Rfam family "Bacterial small subunit ribosomal RNA". The record is from RNAcentral.